UGAUGUUCUAAUUUUUGGUGAUUAUGUGUGUUGGUUUCUCUAAUAUUUCUUUAAUUUCUUAGGCAUGAUUAUUUUUUUUUAGAUCUAAUAUUUUAUAAUUAUAGUACAAGAGUGAAUUAUAUAAUUUUUCUUCUCAAAGCCAUUCAUUUUCUUUCUAGAUUGGACUUUUAAUAUAAUUUUAAAUUAUAUAAUACAGAUG
Molecule: long non-coding RNA, 199 nt
Filed under: Elaeis guineensis (African oil palm)
Lineage: Eukaryota; Viridiplantae; Streptophyta; Magnoliopsida; Arecales; Arecaceae
Description: long non-coding RNA (EGUI_LNC037839)
Source: RNAcentral